GCUGACUUUUUUCAGCUUUACUUCGCCGAUUCCGCCGCUACUCCUUAAAAUUUAAAAAGGAGGCAUUUUUUUUUUUUUCAUCUUUUCCUUGAUCUUCUCGUUCUUGGUGGAUUUCUUCCGCUGCUCUUGGUAUCUGGAGACCAAACAAUCUGUCACUGCUGCAGAGCUGGGAUUGGUAUUUGGUGGUGGUAUAGAGAGGAAGAGCAAGGGAUCCGCCAUUUGUAAGCAGAUCGUGCUCGAUCUGUUUGUAAAGAUCUCUAUUUUCUCUGAUUUUGUCAUUAUUUUGCUUGUUUUGGAUUUCUCAUGCUGCUGUUGAUAGCUGGAGUGCUGGGGACUGGUGACCUUUGCUAAACAGAUUGUGCUCAAUUUCUUUCUGGAGAGCUAGGAAUGGUGGUGUCAUAAAGAGGAAAAACUAGCAAUCUGCCAUUAGCAAGAAGCUUGUGCUCAAUCUCUUUAUGAAGAUCUCUACAUUCCCCAAUUUUAUCGUCAUUUCCUUAUUUUGGAUUUCUUCUACUGCUCUUGAUAGCUGGUGAACUGGGACUGGCGGUGGCGUAGAGAGGAAGAACAAGCAAUUUUCCAUUGAGAGCUAGGGCUGGUGGUAGCCUAGAGAGGAAAACCAAACAAUCUGCCAUUGUUGGAGAGCUAGGAAUAGCGGUGGUGUAGAGAGGAAAGCAAAGCAAUCUUAAAGCAAUCUUCAACUGAAAUCUCAUCAGCAGUGGAACAAAUAGUUACUUUCCUAUCUUCAUAGCAUGGCGCAAAGAACAAACGCUAUCGAUCGCAAUGGAGCCGCUAUCAAGGUUGGAACAAUCGGCACAAUAGGUUCCUUGAUGACUCGAGAGUUAGAAUGCACCAAGCAUUCGGACCAAACAUGCCCUCCAAUGCAGCGAAAACAACAAACAGCGCCGGUGUCCAUACAUUGCGGUGCCAAUUCGAGGAAAACAUUGCAGAAAAGAAAUCAAACUAACGAACAUGGGAGCAGCAGCCGCAAUGACAGCGGUAGCAGCACAGGGCAUGCUAAUGGCGCACCGCGAAGAAACGGGCCCGAGAUUCCGAUGCUAGUAACUGAUGGCAGUCUAGUAGACCAACAUCCGAACACUGAUAAGGCAGAAAAGAAAGCACACUCUUAUAUUGUGGAGGUUGUCGACUUAAAAUGCAGCAAUCCAAUGAGCACACGGUUGAAGAAACUCGGGUUCUCCAAGCUCUCCGAAUCGAUAUCCUAGUUCUCUUAAUCAAUUUGUAAAAGUGAGGUCCUUUGGAGAAAUCAUCAACCUAGUUGAUCUUGAUCUUGGCUUCGGAUUGAACUGUUUGCUUCUACAUGGGAAUCGAGAUCUAAACCAUGUUUUUUAUGACAAGCGACCUUAUUUCCGUUGGGCAUC
This is a long non-coding RNA of Zingiber officinale, 1376 nucleotides long. RefSeq lists it as uncharacterized. Lineage: Eukaryota; Viridiplantae; Streptophyta; Magnoliopsida; Zingiberales; Zingiberaceae. The transcript has 6 exons. The record is from RefSeq and is a predicted model, not a curated record.